Molecule: long non-coding RNA, 4143 nt
Organism: Rosa rugosa (rugosa rose)
Lineage: Eukaryota; Viridiplantae; Streptophyta; Magnoliopsida; Rosales; Rosaceae
Exons: 3
Source: RefSeq, a predicted model, not a curated record
AUUCUGAAAAUUCUACUUUUCUCCAAGCUCCAAGAUAUAAACUUUCUUCACUGCUGCUCUAAUCUGUUCAUUAUAAAGGUUCUUUAGAAGAAACUAAAGCUAUUCAAUUUGAUGUGCAAGAAGCAACUGGAGGUUUGUAGUUCCAGGCUCUGAUGUUGGUUAAGGGAGAUUGGGCAAAAGCAUCUACCAACUAUAAAUGGUCUUCCUCACAAAGAAGCCCUUUUAAGCUACUGUCAGAGUGGUAUUCAGUUAUAUAAUUGGGGAGUCUAUGAUAUUGUUUUUGAAUGUGGUCAUCUGGUAUAGUUUACAAUUAUCAAACUACAGUUGCUAGAGGUAUUUGAUCUUGCAAGAUGUGUAUUGUCUGUGCUUCUUUUAUUGAUGUUUGGUAAUACCAGGGGUUCUAUACCAUUUUGCUUGAGAGUUUGGAGAGUGUUCUUGCACAUGCAUAUGCAGGCUGGUUUCUACAAUGAUUGUCAGCGCAGAGUUUCAUUCGGUACUUUUAAAUACCAAUGCUAUAGUGAAUCAGCUGCAAAGUAAUUGUGGGUUUCUUGAUAGUUAUUGUGAAGGCAUUCUAUAACUAUCAAGAAACCCUCAACAGAUUUAUAACACUAUCAGUUGAUGCGGUUAUGAUGUUGGGCUUGCUUCUCCACUUGCAGCUUCUGCUGUGGUACAAGUUGCAUAACUUGUAGAUAAUGGUUAUAUAGCCAGAAGUUAUAUGCCUUAUGGAGGGCAUCAAAGAGACUAUUUAUUUUAUGGCUGGACUUUACUGUUUUCGGGACUUUGGACUCUUAUCAGUUUGCCUACAUGAAUGUUGCAGUGCAUGAAUUGAGGUGUUGGACAUUAUGAUGUCUCAAACUCAGGGGGUGGAUUCCUUCAUGUCCCAAAAGUUAAGCUCUUCGCUACACAUCUUGGGAUCACAACUUUCUUUGUCAUUGCUUUACCUAAUAGGAAAAGAGUCAACCGAUUAAAAAUGGUGGAAGCCUAUGCACUAUCAAGCUAGGAUUCACCAAAUGAUGUUUUCUUAUACGUGGUGCAUCUGAUGUGCUUAAUUUGAAGUGAGGCCCAACUGUCGAAAUGAUGAAUGUACUAGGAUGGAUGAUGAACUAGCAACUGAACGUAGAAGUUUAAGAGGAUCAUCUGUAGGUUCGCCAUGGAACAUUACUACUAGUGCCACAGUCUUCAAUAAUGGAGAUACUGUAAUUUGUCAAGCAUACGGCAGUGUUAAAGUAAGGCUUCCUUCUUCAGUGAUAUUUGAAUGCAGAAAAUGAACUAAGGGUGAUUUAUUUAAUGUUUAUGAGCAUUGCCAAAUUUCCUAGUUAACCUAGAAAGAUGAUGAAAAGGUGUUGAGUUUUUAUGUGAUAGAGCACCUUGAGUGCCAAAAGUAUGGAACUGAAUCAGAUCCUUCAGCAAAAGGUCAGUUCACAAGCCAUAUAAGUGAGAAAGUGCUCGGAUUUAUUAUGGUAAUGUUUGGAAAAUCUGCAGGGAGGACAAAUACCGCAGUCUCGUUCACAUAUGAAUUUGUAUCUUCUGGUUAGGAGUCAUGGAGAAGAGUUUAAAGUGCAUCUGUAAUAUUGGGGUGGCUAGUAUCCCAGUUGCUUUUGGAGUUCUAAUGAGCUGGAUUCUGCCUCCUCAUUAUACUACGACAAAUUUUUACCUUUAUCUUCAGCAUUGCAUAGCCAAUGGAAUACUGAGAGUCUAAAGGAACAAUCCUCUAUUCUGCAUUAAGAAAUCUCCCUAACGAGGAAGAACUUGUGCAAAAAGAUGCUGUUUCCAUUUGAUUGAGACGGAAUAUAGACAUCAGAGCAACAACUUUGCAUUCAGGCAAAAUAUCAUUCGACAGGUAGAAUUGCGAUUACUGCUCGUAUCAAAGUUGCUGAGGUGGCUCAAAUAAGACUUUCAAAUGAGUAGUUACCAUUUCAUGGGAUCAAUCUUGAUGCACCAGGGAUCAAUAUUUCGAUUAUAUUAAUCAAUAUUGCUUCUUCUUCUUCUUUUUUUUUUUUUUUCAAAACUUCAAGCCUUUCUUGUGGUUUUUUAUUGACUAGGAGGCCCUCUUUAUGAAGCUAUGAUGCUGUCCGCUUUGAUGUUGCAAAUUGCUAUCCUGAAGCAUAUGCAUGUCAAGGUAUCAGUGGGGAACAUUUACAUCCCUCAGAACCAAGUUAUUCACAUAGGAAAGCAUCUUUGACUGAAGUUAAGUCUUUGACUGUUUGGUAACCAUUACUUUCAAAUUCAUUUCUUGCACAUUGCACUAAUUUGUCAUGAUUAUAGCAUCUUUCAUUUUACAGUUUGUCUCAUUUAAGGGUUUAAGAAAACUCUCGAUCUCAGGGAUUGUUGCGCCUAUAUAGACCAUUCUGAGUAAGCAAUUUUGGCUAUUAUUAUAAUUUCAAAGCAAGUCAUCGCAAUGGUUUUUCAGGAACUGUGAUCAAGUGUAUCUUAUUUAAAUAGCUAUCUCUUUAUAGUUGAAUUGAUACUCUGCGGUGUUUAGAUUGUCUGAGUUCUUAGAGGCUAAGAAUAUUGCAAAACCCGCAGAAGUUGGAUAAAUUGUUGAGAAGUGUUCAAUAGCCAAAAGAUUCAAGUUUGAUUAGAGUUCAAAUCUAAGACCUUUGGUAUCAGGUGUGCAUCACUCUCUUUCGAGUAUCUAUCGUGCUCACAAAUGUACAUCUAUCACGUAUCUACCAUGCUUAUACAGUUGCUUGUUAAAGUUUUCAGAACGCAUUUUCAUGUUCUGUUGUCUGCUUCUGUUAAAGAAUUCUCCUUUCCUAAAGCAAGAAAGUGUUUCCCAAAUACUAACUUUUUAUGCUGACAAUUUCAACGUUUUGGAAUAAGCCUGUGUUAUAUACCCUUAUUGUUCACGUUGGUGUGAACUUUAACUCAAACCUAUUGAAUACACUGUCAUGAUCUCAUCUAUAACAGACAUUAUAAGAUUCCUUUGAUGCAACUGUUAUGCUGCGUAUGCAUGUUUCCCACUUUUUGUCAUGUGUCAUGGUGUACUGCCGUUUUUUUAUUUUUUAUUUUUUUUAUUAUUAUUUUUUUUUUUAUAUUCUGUAUGUGAUAAAUCCACAUUUGCAAGUUGUACUAUACUAUGGUACUAGAAUUUGAUUGAUAAAUUUACGGUUUUCUAUAGUUUAUGGAAUUUGUAAUAUAUAAUUUAACUGAUGGUGUUAUUUCAAUUUCAAUACUCCAUUGUAAGAAAAUGUCCUUGUUUUCAAUUUGCUUGCAAAAACCUGUUGGAAAUCUAAGACAAGUGAUGAAACCCUUCCCUUUUGCCACUCUCUCUCAUCCCCUCUCUCCAUGGAAUGUUGGAUUUACAGUUCUUUGCUUAGAAUAGAUGAAUCUUAGUAGAUGUUAACUGGUGUACUCACUUUGUGUCCCAUUUUCAGUCACUCUCUGUAUUUGCUACGAGUACCUGCUUUCAUAAUAUAAUUUUAUAAUUGAUCGACAUUUCAAUUGAAACAGGCAAGUGAAGCAGAGGUGGUAUCCUUGAAACGAGAGAGAAAGAUUAAAGAGGUUGAUUGCUGAAGCGCAGGUUUAAGAGGCGGAGAAUGUACAACAUGGGGUGAAUGGGAGAGGGUGAAUACUGACCUAGUGAAUGCACAAAUCACAAUCUGAAAAUGUCACCUGUGCUCAUCAAAAUGCUCUCCUUAAGGUUGAGGGGAUGAAACUGCAAUAACUUCUGGCCUGAAGAAUAUCCCAGUUAUUAAGUUCUGGACCAUAAGUGCUAUAAUGGUCUGGAACAAACUGAGAAGUUCAUUACUUCUGUGUUUGGAGAAAUUUGAUUCCCCUGAGUCUGACUUUACCUCAAUAGUCAUGAUAAGUAAGGAGCCUGAGCUGCUCAGAAAUGGAUGUACUAUGUAGACAUGAUUUGUGCUUUUGAAAGAAACUUACUUGAAGUAAAAUUGCUGCCUUCUGGAUAUGAGGACAGUGACAAUUCCCACUGGAAGAACAUGCAUUUCUACACAUGUAGCUGCUAUCUGAAGGAUGUAAGAUCAUUCAGAAGGGGGAAAGUAAAAUACAAAGUGAGGAGUGAGGACGACAUCAGUACAUCAUUCAUAAAUACUCAACAGCCAUGUUUAAUUCAUAUUACUAAGGAAAAAAAAAAACAUAAAAUAUGGAAGUGCAUGAGGAUAUUCUUUGCUGUAGUUCCUU